UAUGUUCUCAUUUAUAAAUGGGAGCUAAGCUAUGAGGAUGCAAAAGCAUAAGAAUGAUACAAUAGACUUUGGACUUUGGAGACUCAGGGGAAAAGAUGGGAGGGGAGUGAGGGAUAAAAGACUAUACAUUGGGCACUGUGUACAAUGCUUAGGUGACAGUUGCACCAAAAUCUCAGAAAUCACCAUUAAAGAAAGUAUCUAUGUAAGCAAAACCACCUGUUCCCCAAGAACUACUGAAAUAAAAUAAAAUAUUUUAAAAAUGAGUCCAUCAAUGCAGCAAACUUUAUUGUUGUCUUAUUUGAAGAAGUUGCCACACCCACUCCAGCCUUCAGCAACCACCACUCAGAUCGGUCAGAAGCCAUCCAUGUUGAAGCAAGACUGUCCACCAGGUUUUUGCUAGUGACAUAAGAUGACAACUCACUUAAGGCUCAGAUGAUUGUUAGUAUUUUUUCAGCAAUAAAGUAUUUUAGAAUUAGCGUAUUUAUGUUGUAUGUUUAUGACAUAAUGUUAUUGCACACCUAGUAGGUUACAGUAUAGUAUGAGCAUAACUUUUACAUGCAUUGGGAAACCAAAACAUUUGUGUGACUUGCUUUAUUACAAUAUUCACUUUAUUGUGGUGGUCUGGAACAAAACGUGAUAUUUCUGAUAUACAGGCUUGUCUCUGAAGUAUAUCUGUAUCUCAGUGAAGAUGUUAUGAUUUAUUUAUUUAUUUGAGACGGAGUCUCACUCUGUCACCCAGGCUGGAAUGCAGUGGCACAAUCUGCACUUACUGCAACCUCCACCUCCCGGGUUCAAAAGAUUCUCCUGCCUCAGCCUCCCAAGUAGCUGGGACUACAGGCAUGCGCCACCAUGCCAGGCUAUUUUUUUUUUUUUUUUUUUUUUUUUUUUUUUUGAGACGGAGUCUCGCUCUGUAGCCCAGGCUGGAGUGCAGUGGCCGGUUCUCAGCUCACUGCAAGCUCCGCCUCCCGGGUUUACGCCAUUCUCCUGCCUCAGCCUUCCCGAGUAGCUGGGACUACAAGCGCCCGCCACCGCGCCCGGCUAGUUUUUUGUAUGUUUUAGUAGAGACGGGGUUUCACCGUGUUCGCCAGGAUGGUCUCGAUCUCCUGACCUCGUGAUCCGCCCGUCUCAGCCUCCCAAAGUGCUGGGAUUACAGGCUUGAGCCACCGCGCCCGGCCUUGCCCAGCUAAUUUUUAAAAAAUUUUUUUCUGUAGAGAUGUAGUCUCACUAUGUUGCCCAGGCUGGUCACAACUCCUGGGCUCAAGUGAUCCACCUGCCCCAGCCUCCCAAAGUGCUGGGAUUAUAGGCAUGAGCCACUGUGCCCGGCCAAACUCAAUUUAUCUAAAAGAAAAAAAAAAAGCCUCCUAAUUUUCUUCCUAAAGCGUUCCCCAUCUCAGUGGAGAAAAGCUUUUCUUUUACAUGCUAAGGGUAAAACUCUUGGAGUCAUCUUCAGCUUCUCUCUUUCUCUCAUACUCUACAUGAAUCAUUUAACAAACUUGAUUAACUUUAAAUUCAAAACAAAAUACUCAUAAUAUGACCACUUCUUUUUUUAAUUAGUAAUUUACUUCUUUUCUUUUUCCAUUUAUUCUUCAUGAUGGAAUAUAACUGACCACUUCUUACCACUUCACUUCUACUACUGUGGCCUCAACCAUCAUCAUUUCUCACCUCAACGAUUGCGAUAACUUCCUAAUGCUAUACUUCUCUGUGUCUGUUCUUCCUAUGGUAUUCUGAGGGAUCUUAUGAAAAUGCAAGUAAGAUUAGGUCACAUUUUGGCUCAAAACCUCCAGUGACUUCCCAUCUCACUCAUGAUUUUACUACCCACACCCAUCCCUGGCCUCCCUGACCUCCUCUCCUUAUAUUCUCCCCCUUGGUCCCUCAGCUCUGGACACACGGGCUUCCUUUCCAUUCCCUGAGCAUAGCAUGCUUCCACCUCAGGACCUUUGAACUUACUCAUCCCUCUACUUGGGACACUUUAAUCACAUAUCCAUAUGGCUUGCUCUCUCACUUCUAUUCAGAUAUCACCUUGACGGUGGAGCUGUCCAGACUACCCGUGUGUAAGCAAUAUUUCCGCACCCCUGCCUCUGGACUACCUGUCCUCCUUACGCCAUAAUAAUUUUCUCCCAUAACACCUAUUAUCAUUUGUCUAAUAGACACAUUAUCUAUUAGACAAAUGGGACUCCCCGAGCAUGUCCUGGUUACUGUAGAAGUGUCUCCUCCUCAAGGCAAUGUUAUAAUGAGAAGUGAGGGAAAUAGUCAACAAGGGCUGCAAAGCAUGUUGGUCUAAUUAGUGUCCCCUUGCACAGAGAUCUGGGGAGAAGUCUGAGGAGGGAGUAUCCAAAGAUGACAUAACCUGAGUGCAGAUUUUCGACUGUAAGUGAAAAGUGAGCUGAGCCUGUGCUCAAGGACUUCCUGCGUGCUGAGCACCCGUGCCGAGCACUGUCUCUCACUAGCUUGCUGAUGGGGGUUUGGGUUUAUAAAUUUCAUGUUUCACUCACCAACACUAACUCAUUUUAUAUUUCAAUCAAAACGGAAUGUGUGAAUCCAGGCUCGGUGGCUCAUGCCUGUAAUCCCAGCACUUUGGGAGGCCAAGGCAGGCAGAUGGCUUGAGCUCAGGCGUUGGAGACCGGCCUGGGCAACACAGUGAAACCCCAUCUUUACCAAAAAUACAAAAAAAUUAGCCAGGUACGGUGGCAUGUGCCUGUAGUACCAGCUACUCCGGAGGCUAAGGUAGGAGGACUGCUUGAGCCCAGGAGGCGCAGGGUACAGUGAGCUAAGAUCGCGCCACUGCACUCCACCUAGACUCUGUCUCAAAAAAAAAAAAAAAAAAAAAAAAAAAAAAAAAAAAAUUGUGUUUUUUUUUUUUUUUCCUGGAAGGAAAUAGAACAUAUUCUCUAAUAUUCUCUAAGUGGUUUGUGUGCUUUGGCACACAAAAGAAUGCAAUGAUGAUGGCCUUUCUCACUGGUUGGUUUGCUGUUCCCACAGUUAGAGGAGACUGCCCACACAGGGAGAGUGGCACAGAGGAGAGCAACAUCAAUCAACAGCGAAUAUGCAUGCGAUCGCGGUCUAAUUAGCACCAGGCACCUCAGGGCAGCAGUAUUGUCAGGGGCAUUGGAACCAGAGGGACUCCAUCUUGAAUAAGGUCUGGGUAAAAUGAGGCUGACACCUACUGGGCUGCAUUCCCAGGAGGUUAGGCAUUCUUAGUCACAGGACAAGAUAGAGGUCAUAAAGACCCUGCUGAUAAAACAACAAAGAAGGCAGCCAAAACUCACCAAAACCAAGGUGGUGAUGAAAGUGACCUCUGGUUGUCCUCACUGCUCAUUAAAUGCAAAUUAUAAUGUAUUAGCAUGCUCAAAGACACUCCCAGCAGCACCACGACAGUUUACGAACGCCAUGGCAAUAUCAGGAAGUUACCCUAUAUGGUCUAAAAGGGGAGGAACCCUCAGUUAGGGUAAAUCCCUGCCCCUUUCCUGGAAAACUCAUGAAUAAUCCACCCCUUGUUUAACAUAUAAUCAAGAAAUAACUAUACCUCGAACAUCCUAUGCCACUGCUCUGCCUAUGGGAGUAGCCAUUCUUUUAUUCUUUUACUUCUCUAAUAAACUUACUUUCACUCUACUUUAUGAACUCACCCCAAAUUCUUUCUUGUGCAAGAUCCAGAACCUUCUCUUGGGGUCUGGAUCAGGACCCCUUUCCUGUAACAGUAUUAGUCAUAACUAUUAUCUGAAAAAGUAUAUUUAUAUGGCACGUUACAAAUUCAAUUGCGCACGAUAGAUUCUGACCCAUGUCAUUCUCACAAUCACCCCAUAAUGUCAAUCCUUCCAUUUCACAAUAAAAAAACUGAGGCUCAGGCUGGAGAUGGUGGCCCACACCUAUAAUCCCAGCACUUUGGGAGGCUGAGGCAGUGGGAUCAUUUGAGGAUUGGAGUUUGAAACCAGCAUGGGCAAAAUGAUGAGAUUCCAGUUCUACAAAAAAAUAAAUAAAAGUUUUUGGCCAGGCACGGUGGCUCACACCUAUAAUUCCAGCACUUUGGGAGGCCGAGGCGGGUGGAUCACAAGGUCAGGAGAUCAAGACCAUCCUGGCUAACAUGGUGAAACCCCAUCUCUAUUAAAAAUACAAAAAAUUAGCCAGGCAUGGUGGUGGGCACCUGUAGUCCCAGCUACUCGGGAGACUGAGGCAGGAGAAUGGCAUGAACCUGGGAGGCGGAGCUUGCAGUGAGCCGAGACUGCACCACCACACUCCAGCCUGGGCGACAUAGUGAGACUCCAUCUCAAAAAAAAAAAAAAAAAAUUGUUUUUCAUUAGUUGGGCUUGGUGGGGCAAUUCUAGUCCCAGGUAUGAGGGAGGCUGAGGCAGGAGGAUUGUUUGGGCCCAGGAGUUUGGGGCUGCUGCAGUGAGCUGAGAUCACACCAUUGUACUUUAGCCUGCAUGACAGAAUGAGACUAUAUAUCAAAAGAAAAAAAAUAAAGAAGAAAAAGAAGAAAUUGAGGCUCAAGGAGGUUAGGGUGAAUUGCUCAAAGCCAUUCUGUUGUGACCUAAACCUAGAGUGAACAUAUGUCCUGAUGCGUCCAGGACAGCCCUCAGUUUAUGCCUGUCGUCCUGGUGUAAUUAUUAAUAGCUCCUUCUCACUCUCCGGAGUAUCCUGGUUGGAUAGUAAAUUAUAUGGUCACUCUACCAAAAUCUGUUUCUUUCAUUCACUUAAAUGCUAUCUUUUAUUUCAUUACUGCCUUGUUUCCUCCACUUAUGGCAGCUUCAGGAUGAUUAUAACAGCUGAAAAGGCUGGCUUCAGACCAUGGUAUCGCUUCUAUAAGAAAGGAC
This 4808-nucleotide long non-coding RNA is filed under the name Papio anubis (olive baboon). Its description in RNAcentral is "lncRNA (ENSPANG00000050399.1)". Lineage: Eukaryota; Metazoa; Chordata; Mammalia; Primates; Cercopithecidae. The record is from RNAcentral.